Syngnathoides biaculeatus (alligator pipefish) is the source of this 399-nucleotide long non-coding RNA. RefSeq lists it as uncharacterized. The record is from RefSeq and is a predicted model, not a curated record. NCBI's taxonomy places the organism in Eukaryota, Metazoa, Chordata, Actinopteri, Syngnathiformes, Syngnathidae. The transcript has 4 exons.
AUUUUUUGCAGACGGACACGUUGCUGAACUAGUAAACAACGUCAGAGGAGCAUCUCGAUCGGCUGGCAACCAGUUGAGGGUGUAACCCCGCCUCCUCCCCGAUGACAGCUGGGAUAGGCUCCAGUCCUCCUGCGACCCUCGUGAGGAUAAGCGGCUCAGAAAGCGGAUGGAUUGAUGGUUGCGUCGCUUCCUGUGCAAACAGGAAGUUGAAUGCCAGCCAUGUUCCCAGUUGCAGCCAACUUGGUUUCACUUGAACUACAGUAAGAUCCCUUUGGCCGGAGUCAACCUCCUGUGGGCGUCCUCGUCCCUGCCGGGCGUCACCUGCACGCCCACCUCCACGGGCAGCAUGGGGGGGCCCCUCCCCACCUCCAGGGCGUGGCCCCGGGGGGAGAUGGGGAU